This 1074-nucleotide long non-coding RNA is filed under the name Junco hyemalis (dark-eyed junco). RNAcentral's name for it is "lncRNA (ENSJHYG00000000008.1)". Lineage: Eukaryota; Metazoa; Chordata; Aves; Passeriformes; Passerellidae. The record is from RNAcentral.
AGGCCCCGGUUGAAUUAAAAAUUUAAAAUCCUGGCUGGAGAGGGGUUCUGGCAAAGCUCUGCCAUGGUUUUAUUGAGGAAAUCGCGGGGUUUGAGGCUGAUUCAGGGAUCCUGCUCCUCUAAUUGCCUUUACAGCGCUGAUAAACAGGACACGGCGCUAAUUAGCGAGCCAGGAGCUUCGCCCCAAAUAAAUGAGUUCCCUGGGCAAAUCCCUGAAGGAGCUGCUUGCUGAGAAUCCGGGAUUUUCUCCCUUUAAAUUCCCAGAUUUCUCUCGGCGAAGAGAAACCCGGAGCUGGGAUCUGUGUGCUCGGGAAUUCUAUUUAUGGCCCGACCAUGACAUUAAUAUUAAAUUACACAUCGAGUGAUUUCACUGGGAUUUUUUUUUUUUUUAAUCUUUAACCUUUCUGCCCCAGAUUCGCCUUCUCGGCGGAUGCUGGAAAUGACGAAUUAAUUCAGGUGGUUUGUGGCGGAGCCGAUUUUUCUCCUUGCCGGAGGAACCCAGCGGAAAAUGGAGGCUGCAAGCAGCAAUUACGUGCUCGGCGUUGGCAAGGAGGAGGAUUCGCUUCGGAGGGGAAAAACCAACACCCAGCAGCAGAAAUUCUGUUUGCAGAAACAGAGCCACUGCACAUCAAUCAGCAGCACGGAUCACUAAUGAAUUUUUAAUUCCUUGUGGAAGCCAUCAGGGCUGAACCUUCCCCAUCCAGGGCAGAUCUUUAAUGGAUUUUUGGCAUCCCGGGGUAAAAUCCUGCAGCUCCUCAGGAUCCUCGUGGAAAUGCUGCCCCGGGCCCUGGGCCAGCCCGGCAAUCAUUCAUGGCAAUUUUUGGCCCAGGUCUCCACCUUGUUUAUUCACCUGAGGACUGAGCGAGUUUUUCCUGCCCUGCCCUGGUUUCUCAAGGAGGAUGAGAUGAUUAAACCCAGCGUCAAUCCUCUUAUGGUGAGGAAAUUUCCCAGCACCUGAAAGGCCCUUUAUGAAAUUUGUCUUCAUUAAGACACCACGGAAGUUUUACACACCAAAUAUUAAUUACUAAUAUAGAAUAGCAUAGAAUAAAUAGAAUAUUUUGAUGAUAUUAAUCCA